RNAcentral lists this ribosomal RNA (253 nucleotides) under uncultured bacterium. Its description in RNAcentral is "partial 16S ribosomal RNA". It matches the Rfam family "Bacterial small subunit ribosomal RNA", at positions 524 to 776 of the family's 1533-position model. The record is from RNAcentral.
AACGUAGGUUCCGAGCGUUAUCCGGAUUUACUGGGCGUAAAGCGCGUUCAGGCGGUUUGGCAAGUCGGGCAUGAAAUCUCUCGGCUCAACCGGGAGAGGUUGUCCGAUACUGCUGGACUUGAGGGCAGUAGAGGGUGGUGGAAUUCCAGGUGUAGCGGUGAAAUGCGUAGAUAUCUGGAGGAAUACCGGUGGCGAAGGCGGCAUCCUGGACCGACAUUGACGCUGAGGAGCGAAAGCCAGGGGAGCAAACGGG